Macadamia integrifolia is the source of this 5934-nucleotide RNA transcript. It is a transcript of the gene named mannosyltransferase APTG1, with no coding region annotated. The transcript has 10 exons. The record is from RefSeq and is a predicted model, not a curated record. Lineage: Eukaryota; Viridiplantae; Streptophyta; Magnoliopsida; Proteales; Proteaceae.
CUUCACCGCGAGUAGCGCAUGGCAGGUAUGAACUCAUUCCCUUGGGUAUUGGCUCCCUUCUCUCUUCCGUCUUGACCUCUCGGCUCUCACUACUCAACCUCUUCUUCUUGAGUAGAGGUUAGGGCUCUGUCACUGUCUCUCUAUUUCUUUCCCUUUCCCUCUCCGAUCUCAUAGUCGCUGGUUUUUGAAUGUGUUCUGCUGAGAUAAGCUUCGUCGGUCUCAAUCUCUGGGCGUCACGGAGUUGUGGGAGUUACAUCGGUUUCAAGUCUCUGGACAUUUAGCAGAGGGUUCGGGAGCUGGCUGCCAUUAUUAAGUUACCGGAAAUGCUGGUUUUCGGUAUACGGGACGUGAAGGAGAGGUGUUUGAGGCCUUUGUUGGAGUUUCAAGUUUCAAAACAUCAAGUAAAAAGUCAUCUAGUAUUCUUUUGUUAUUUUGAGUUAUUUUUCACAAGUGAAGCAACUGACCUUAAGUUUAGUCCUACAUUGGAAACUUGUAGAAGUUUCUUUGGGUUUACAUACAUAGUAAUUAGUAUUUAAGAGACAUAGGGUUAGAGAAGUCUCUCUACUCUCUCAUGUGUGGGGAUUGUCAGAUGCUUUUUCAAUCACAUAUUCAGGUGCCCUGAGCCAAGCUUAGUCGGACCGGACCUUGGUUGAGGUCGGGGUUUGGGUAAGGGUGUGGAUCCUCCUUUGCCUUACUUUUUAGUUAAAAGUAUGACUCCAAAGUUCAAAAUUUCAGUAGAUUGAAUACGUAGGUACCUUACAUACCUUGUAUUAGUACACACCUAUACGUAUAUACACAUACUGUAGAGAGUAAUCCUAUAUGUGAAAGGACAUACCUGUAUGUACAGGUAUCUAUAGACAUAGGGUGCAUCUGUACAGGUACGUUUAAGCCUAUAAAUACCCCGUGCCUACAGGUUAGAAAGGUACAACAAAUCCAGAGAGUAAUUUCUUAGUGUACAAAGUUUGUCUGUAUACUGUUAUACUAAAUCGUUUCUGUACUAUCUUCUAGUCCACUUCUUCUUUCCUCUCUUUUUGAGUUCUCAGUAUAGCUUAUAGACUCCCUUUGUAAUCACACUUGGGAGUGCAAAACCUUUGUGAUUAGGGGGUGAUUUUAUAUUGAAGGUAAAAAAGUGGGUCAACCCUGUAUGCGCAAAUUAGGGGCUCUUUAACACCUUAAGGAGAGUAUAUACAUACAACUUCACCCUAUUGUACAUGUGUACGAAAUCUUCUACUUCAACUACUGUACUUGAUCUCUACAACAUACAAGGACUACAGCUCAAGGUCUCUUCCUUUACACUCUUAUUACAUUACAAAUAAAUUUAACAUUGCUCUUUUAAUUAUUCUUUUACAACAAUCUCACUUGAUGUGUCAUCUUGAAUGAACCUCGUUUCUUAGUCUAAACAAGAUUAGCCUUGAGUCUUGUAUAUCCAAGAGGUUUUUCUCAUAUCUGACCCUAUUCCUUUCCUCAAUUUUAAUUUUGAUAACAACUUGCUCAAACGUCCAUUCCUUCCUCUUGUGUUUCAUAUUCAAUUUAAAUGUAAUCAAAGAGGUUGGAAGUUUUUCAAGUAGUGCUCCAGUCACAAAUGCAUCAGGAAAUAUAAUAUUUUCCCUAGACAAGUUUCCAAUGGAAUUUAUCUAUUUGGGAAGAAAUAUUUUCACCAUCUUGCAUUUGAAAAUUAAGUAAAUUAGCCACCACAUACUUUCUUUGUUCCUCAUCAUCAAGUGUGUACUUGUUACAGAAAGCAUUCUAUAUCAUAAAUGCAUAGUCUAAGACUCUAAGGAAUUAUACACACUAUAAAGAUUAUUAGAGAGUGCAUUAAGAAUACGAUUCUUACAUUGAAAGUUUGCAUGUACCCAAGCAAUCCUCUUUGCAUCCAAAACUAGAUCCUCACUUGGAUCUGGUUUGGUUCAAACAAUGUAAAAAAGCAACUCCCAAUUGAGUGAGAGCAAAGAACAUCAUUGCUUCCACCGCUUAAAUUUCUCUCCAUCAAACUGAGUUAUAUGAUCAAGUUCAGAAUUGAUUCUCAGUUUCUCCAUUCUAGGUUGAAUGGAAUUUUAACAUUAGUUACCCUAGGAUUGAUUUGAGAUGCAGUAAAACCAGUAUUUGGUAGUAUCUCAUUGGCAGCAGGACCGUCAUUCGAUCCAUCCUUAUCAAUGACGUUAAUGGGUAUUUCUUUACCAGCCAUAUCCAACACAUAAAAUACUAACACCUUAAGAUUGUUGUAAAUAAAAAAUUAAAAGAGCAAUGUUAGACUUAUUUGUAAUGUAAUAAGACUGUAAAUGAUGUACAUAACUUGAGUUGUAGUCCUUGUAUGUUGUAGAGAUCAGGUACACUAGAUGAAGUAGAAGAUUUCGUAUACAGGUACAAUAGGGUGAAGUCGUAUGUACUCUCCUUAAGGUGUUAAAGAGCCCCUAAUUUGUACAAAGUUCUUUUACCUCCAAGAUAAAAUCACCUCCUAAUCACAAAGAUUGCACUCCCAAGUGCGAUUACGAAGGGAAUCCACAAGCUAUAUUAAGAACUCAAAAAGAGAGGAGAGAAAAAGAAGUAGUUUGGAAGUUAGUACAAAAACAAUUUGGUUUAAUAAUAUACAGACAAACUUUGUAACCCACGAAAUUACUCUCUGGAUUUGUUGUACCUUUCUUGCCUGUAGGCACUGGGUAUUUAUAGGCUGAAACGUACUUGUAUAUACAGGUAUGUCCUUUCACAUAUAGGAUGUAUUUGUAUUUACUCUUUACAAUAUGUGUAUAUACGUAUAAAGCCUAAACUUUUGAUUAAAAAGUAAGACAAAAGAGGACCUACACUCGAACCCCGACCUCAGUUGCGGCUCGGCUCGGCUCGGCUCGGCUCGGCUCGGCCCGUGUGAUUAAAGAAGCACCCUGAAAACCCCCACAUAUGAGAAAGUAGAGAAACUUCUCUCUAAGGAACCCUAUGUCCCCAAAGACUACUUCCUAUAUAUAUACCCAAAGAAACUUUUACAAGUUUCCAAUGUGGGACUAAACUUAAGCUCACUUUCUUCACUUGUGAAAAAGAACUCAAAGAACAAAAGAAUAGUAGAUAACUUUUCACUUGAUGGUUUGAAACUUAAAACUCCAACAACCCUUCUUGUAGUGGUUAGCUUGCUAGUGCUGUCAGCAUUGGGUCUUAUUUUUUUUUUGGUCAAGCAUUUGACGUUCAAAAUCAUGCUUCAUAAUUAAGCUAAGAACAUCAUAAUGACUUGAAAGCUUUUCAGUCGAUGGUUUUUUAUUUUGGAGUGAAGGUAAAGGUAUUUUCGAACCGGCCCUUCUACUUUCUCAUUUUAUGCUCAGGAAAAUGUCUGAGAGAUGUUAGCUUCAGUAGUCCUUUCCUUGAAAUUUGGAAUUUGGAUGAGGGGUUAAGUAGAGUGGAAAAUGUGUGUACAAGAUACAAGGAUUGGAUUCCUCUGGCCCUUUUUUUUUUGUGCCAAAAGAUGUCAUACAUAUUUUAGUUAUUGCAGUUUAUUUUCCCUGUGGAAAGGCUGGCAUGAGAUAGUCUCUUUAUAGUUGUCAAGGUGUCACCUAGGUGUCCAGGCGCCUUGGUUGCCCUGGUGGUGUCGCCUUGAGUCUAGGCCCCUUCCAACGCCUUGGGUCACUUAGAAGCUGUGACAACUAUGGUCUCUUACCUAUUCAAACAUGAGUUCUAACCUACAACAACAACAAACAACAACAGGCUCAGCCUUAUCCCAACUUAAUGGGGUUGGCUGCAAGGAUAUGUGCAAAACAAAGUAGCGAAAAAUGAGCUCCAAACAAGAGUUCUAAACUAAUCAAUUGGAAAUUUUGAUGUUUAAUCUCAAUUUGGCAGUUCAGCGCUCGUACCUCCGUUUGUAUUCCUGCUAAGGAGGUGCUGAUGAGGAGUCAGCAUUACAAUGUCAGGCAGGCCAUGAGCUGUAACUUCAUGGUUUUAUGUCUGUGGUUGCCACUCUGAAUAGGCCUCAUUCAAGUACUUGUCUGAGAUUGGAUAUAUGUUAUCAGGUUUCAACCUGAGAUUUUUCUGGGGGGUGGUGAUGGUGGUGGGGGUUGAGGGGGAACCUUUUGGUUAAGAAUGAGACAUAAAAUACUAGAGUUAACAAGUUGUUUAUUAUUAUUAUUUUUUUGAGCUGUGAAUCAAAAGUUUAACACAAAGGAUUCAUGUUUUCUGAUACUAUUUUUACUUUUGUCAUUAAAUAUUAGUCCAAUUCUUUAGUCCAAUCCUUUCACAGUUUUCUUACUUUGAAUUUUCAUAAUUCCUUAGCCUUACUUUCUCUUAGUAACAUAGUCUUUCAUUGGAAGUAGAGAAGAAUUCCCUAUAGGGACCUAAAUCACCAAUGGAGGAAAAAUCCGAUUUGGGGCGUUUACCACAAAUUCUUUUAUGGCUGUUUUUCCUAAACAGAUUGCGUUAUUCUCCAUUUUCUCCAUUUCCUACGAUCUCAGAGAUGAUGAUGAGGCGGAGACCCAAUACUGCUAUUUUACUGACUGAAGAACAAACUGAAAACUCUUGUCAUCCAAAAGGAGAAACCCAUCAUACCUCAACCUUUGAUUUGUUUUCUUCAUCAAAGAGAGUUUUAGCAAUUUGCUUGGCUUUCCGUGUGGUGAAUUCUUUGCUGGUGCAGACAUAUUUCAACCCAGAUGAGCACUGGCAAGCUCUUGAAGUUUCUCAUCGCUUAGUCUUUGGAUAUGGCCAUUUAACAUGGGAAUGGAAGGAGGGUAUUCGUAGUUAUCUGCAUCCAAUGGUUUUUGUGCUUCUUUAUAAAGUUCUUGCCUUCUUUCAUCUUGAUACCCCCUGGUUCAUGAUGAAGGCUCCACGUAUGCUACAGUCAUUAUUUUCCUCAGUUGGUGAUUUCUACUUGUACAAGCUUUCCCGUAUUAUUUUUGGUGAUCGUGUUGCACGGUGGACUCUCUUUUCUCAGUUCACAAACUGGUUUAUGUUUUUCUGUUUCACUCGAACCUUAUCGAAUAGCUUGGAGACAGUCCUUAUGAUCGUCAGCCUAUACUAUUGGCCCUGUUUCAAGGGUUCUGACCAAGUUUCUGUUGCUUCAAGAAAGUAUGGUUUGGCCAUAGCAGCACUAGCCUGUGCUCUUCGACCAACAAGUGCUAUCAUAUGGUUAUAUGUUGGCCUUUUGGAGCUGGUUGGAACACGCAAUAGACUGAAAUUCAUAUUCCUUGAGGUAGCCCCUAUAGGGUUCUUGGUGCUAAUCCUCACGUGUUUAUUGGAUCGGUUGAUGUAUGGCUCGUGGGUCUUGGUUCCUCUUAAUUUUCUGAAGUUCAACUUUCUCUCUUCGGGUGGCGACUAUUAUGGGACGCACAAGUGGCACUGGUACUUCACCCAGGGCUUUCCUGUCAUGCUCUUCACUUUUGUGCCAUUUACUGUAGCUGGCAUCUUUCAAUCUAAAGAAUGGAAGCUUUCUGGUCUGAUUGCAUGGGUUUUGGGACUUUACAGUGUGCUUGGUCACAAAGAAUUCAGGUUUGUCCUUCCUGUGCUUCCGUUGGCUUUGAUGUUUUCUGGAUAUUCAUUAGCUGCAAUGGAAACUCCUCAUUCUUCAGAGGGUAAAAAGAAAAGACCACUGAAUUUCCACGUUAGAUGUCCUUCGAGAAUGCAGAUGGCUGUAUUUUUUCUUCUUGCAACUAAUAUCCCGAUGGCAUUAUAUAUGAGUUUAGUCCAUCAGCCAGAGAGGAAGCGAAGAUGUUAUGAACUUUUUAUCCAAAGAAGCUCUUGAUGAGAAAGUGAAGAGUAUCCUUUUCUUAAUGCCCUGUCAUGCCACACCUUACUACUCGACCCUACAUUACAACAUUUCCAUGCGUUUCUUGGAUUGCUCUCCAGGUGCAGAGAAAGGAGUUUUAGAUGAGUCAGACCGCUUCAUGAUGGAUCCAGCUCAUUUUGUGGCUGAUAUGGCAAAGAAUUGGUCUUUACCUAGUCACAUAGUAUUAUUUGAUCCACAAGAAA